UGGGUGAUGCCUCCCUUUAAAAUAGAUUGGACGCUGUAAUCAGAAGAUGCCAUAGGAGUUUGGAAUGACAGUUGGGAUGUUGGAACUGGAAAGUUCUGGGGCAGUUGGGGAGAGAUGGAACAUUAAUCCCAAGAUUCUAUAGCAACUGAAGGUGGAUUUGGAUAGCUGGAGAAGUCUGAAGAAAGCACAGUGACAGCAGCAGGAUCCUUUUGAGGAAGAGAGAAAUAGGAAGCAGGACAAUGUAUAUGAAAAGAACUCUGUAAGGGACAUGGGAAAAGAAUUGCAGGGAUGGAAUAAAAGGAUAAACCAAUCUGAGCAAGGGAAAAGUGGCGGAAAGAGACUGAAAAGAUAAAUGUGCCUCAGUUUCUUCCUCGGAAGGGUUUGAAUUGCUGUCUCAGGCCUUAAAAUAAGAGCUUUGUUUUUCCCCAUUGGCAAAAUUCUUCACUCCACAGGCCAAGUUCUGCCUUUGUGUAAAAUUCCUGCAGCUGUCCUGGGGGAGAGCUUAUGAUUUUGAUUUCAGAAGAGCAGCACUGCCAUUCCUCAUGGAGCCAUGGGAGGGUGCUGCUGGAUUGGCCAGCGUCUCUUGCUUGACUCAUAUGAUGACUGUUGAAUAACCUCUCGCUAUAUAUAAUGGAAUAUUCACCCAUCAGCCCAGAUGUUGAGAACUCCCACUUCUGCUAAUCUUACGCAUUUGCAGUAAGAGGCUACUCAGUCCUUUAGUCUGACUGGAAUUGUAAUGGGGUAGAGGACAGGGAGAAUUUCUCAUGACUAAUAUCCUGAAACCUGGGUAUCUAAUGUGAAUCCUCUCGGGGAAUAUCAGUCUCAAGUCAAAGAAAUUUGGUCUUUAAGAGGGUCACUAACUGUACUGUAGGUGACUAAGUUACUGUCUGCUGUACAGUCUGGUUAAUGUAAAACAUGACGUUGCUGUAAAUUGCAGAAUUACAUAUAAACAGAGUAGCUUCAUG
This is a long non-coding RNA of Mauremys mutica (yellowpond turtle), 965 nucleotides long. RefSeq lists it as uncharacterized. The record is from RefSeq and is a predicted model, not a curated record. The transcript is spliced from 3 exons. NCBI's taxonomy places the organism in Eukaryota, Metazoa, Chordata, Testudines, Geoemydidae.